This 2887-nucleotide ribosomal RNA is filed under the name Vibrio parahaemolyticus VP-NY4. RNAcentral's name for it is "bacterial LSU rRNA". It matches the Rfam family "Bacterial large subunit ribosomal RNA". Lineage: Bacteria; Pseudomonadati; Pseudomonadota; Gammaproteobacteria; Vibrionales; Vibrionaceae. The record is from RNAcentral.
UAAGUGACUAAGCGUACACGGUGGAUGCCUUGGCAGUCAGAGGCGAUGAAAGACGUAGUAACUUGCGAUAAGCCCAGAUUAGGUAGUAACAACCAUUUGAGUCUGGGAUUUCUGAAUGGGGAAACCCACGUGCAUAAGCACGUAUCCUUACCUGAAUACAUAGGGUAAGGAGGCGAACCGGGGAAACUGAAACAUCUAAGUACCCCGAGGAAAAGAAAUCAACCGAGAUUCCGAAAGUAGCGGCGAGCGAAAUUGGACUAGCCCUUAAGCUUUACACGCGUUAGACGAACGGUCUGGAAAGUCCGACGAUACAGGGUGAUAGUCCCGUAGUUGACGACGUGUGUUCAGUGAAAUCGAGUAGGGCGGGACACGUGAUAUCCUGUCUGAAUAUGGGGGGACCAUCCUCCAAGGCUAAAUACUACUGACUGACCGAUAGUGAACCAGUACCGUGAGGGAAAGGCGAAAAGAACCCCUGUGAGGGGAGUGAAAUAGAACCUGAAACCGUGUACGUACAAGCAGUAGGAGCAGGCUUUGUCCUGUGACUGCGUACCUUUUGUAUAAUGGGUCAGCGACUUAUAUUCAGUGGCAAGGUUAACCAUCUAGGGGAGCCGUAGGGAAACCGAGUCUUAACUGGGCGUUCAGUCUCUGGAUAUAGACCCGAAACCAGGUGAUCUAGCCAUGGGCAGGUUGAAGGUUGAGUAACAUCAACUGGAGGACCGAACCGACUAAUGUUGAAAAAUUAGCGGAUGACUUGUGGCUAGGGGUGAAAGGCCAAUCAAACCUGGAGAUAGCUGGUUCUCCCCGAAAGCUAUUUAGGUAGCGCCUCGGACGAAUACUACUGGGGGUAGAGCACUGUUAAGGCUAGGGGGUCAUCCCGACUUACCAACCCUUUGCAAACUCCGAAUACCAGUAAGUACUAUCCGGGAGACACACGGCGGGUGCUAACGUCCGUCGUGGAGAGGGAAACAACCCAGACCGCCAGCUAAGGUCCCAAAUUACUACUAAGUGGGAAACGAUGUGGGAAGGCUCAGACAGCCAGGAUGUUGGCUUAGAAGCAGCCAUCAUUUAAAGAAAGCGUAAUAGCUCACUGGUCGAGUCGGCCUGCGCGGAAGAUGUAACGGGGCUAAGUAGUAAACCGAAGCUGCGGCAAUGUGCUUUUGCACAUUGGGUAGGGGAGCGUUCUGUAAGCGGUUGAAGGUGUGUGGUAACGCAUGCUGGACGUAUCAGAAGUGCGAAUGCUGACAUGAGUAACGAUAAAGGGGGUGAAAAACCUCCUCGCCGGAAGACCAAGGGUUCCUGUCCAACGUUAAUCGGGGCAGGGUAAGUCGACCCCUAAGGCGAGGCCGAAAGGCGUAGUCGAUGGGAAACGGGUUAAUAUUCCCGUACUUCUUACAAUUGCGAUGGGGGGACGGAGAAGGCUAGGUGGGCCUGGCGACGGUUGUCCAGGUUCAAGUGCGUAGGCUUAAGAGUUAGGUAAAUCCGGCUCUUUUUAAGGCUGAGACACGACGUCGAGCAUCUACGGAUGUGAAGUCAUUGAUGCCAUGCUUCCAGGAAAAGCCUCUAAGCUUCAGAUUGUAAGGAAUCGUACCCCAAACCGACACAGGUGGUCGGGUAGAGAAUACCAAGGCGCUUGAGAGAACUCGGGUGAAGGAACUAGGCAAAAUGGUACCGUAACUUCGGGAGAAGGUACGCUCUCGACGGUGAAGUCCCUCGCGGAUGGAGCUAUUGAGAGUCGCAGAUACCAGGUGGCUGCAACUGUUUAUUAAAAACACAGCACUGUGCAAAAUCGUAAGAUGACGUAUACGGUGUGACGCCUGCCCGGUGCCGGAAGGUUAAUUGAUGGGGUUAGACUUCGGUCGAAGCUCUUGAUCGAAGCCCCGGUAAACGGCGGCCGUAACUAUAACGGUCCUAAGGUAGCGAAAUUCCUUGUCGGGUAAGUUCCGACCUGCACGAAUGGCGUAAUGAUGGCCACGCUGUCUCCACCCGAGACUCAGUGAAAUUGAAAUCGCUGUGAAGAUGCAGUGUACCCGCGGCUAGACGGAAAGACCCCGUGAACCUUUACUACAGCUUGGCACUGAACAUUGACCCUACAUGUGUAGGAUAGGUGGGAGGCUUUGAAGCACGUACGCCAGUAUGUGUGGAGCCGUCCUUGAAAUACCACCCUUGUAGUGUUGAUGUUCUAACGUCGACCCCUUAUCGGGGUUGCGGACAGUGCCUGGUGGGUAGUUUGACUGGGGCGGUCUCCUCCCAAAGAGUAACGGAGGAGCACGAAGGUGGGCUAAUCACGGUUGGACAUCGUGAGGUUAGUGCAAUGGCAUAAGCCCGCUUGACUGCGAGAAUGACAAUUCGAGCAGGUGCGAAAGCAGGUCAUAGUGAUCCGGUGGUUCUGAAUGGAAGGGCCAUCGCUCAACGGAUAAAAGGUACUCCGGGGAUAACAGGCUGAUACCGCCCAAGAGUUCAUAUCGACGGCGGUGUUUGGCACCUCGAUGUCGGCUCAUCACAUCCUGGGGCUGAAGUCGGUCCCAAGGGUAUGGCUGUUCGCCAUUUAAAGUGGUACGCGAGCUGGGUUUAGAACGUCGUGAGACAGUUCGGUCCCUAUCUGCCGUGGGCGUUGGAAGAUUGAAGGGGGCUGCUCCUAGUACGAGAGGACCGGAGUGGACGAACCUCUGGUGUUCGGGUUGUGUCGCCAGACGCAUUGCCCGGUAGCUAAGUUCGGAAUCGAUAACCGCUGAAAGCAUCUAAGCGGGAAGCGAGCCCUGAGAUGAGUCUUCCCUGAUACUUUAAGUAUCCUAAAGGGUUGUCGGAGACUACGACGUUGAUAGGUCAGGUGUGUAAGUGCUGUGAGGCAUUGAGCUAACUGAUACUAAUUGCCCGUGAGGCUUAACCA